This 200-nucleotide ribosomal RNA is filed under the name uncultured bacterium. RNAcentral describes it as "partial 16S ribosomal RNA". It matches the Rfam family "Bacterial small subunit ribosomal RNA", at positions 8 to 232 of the family's 1533-position model. The record is from RNAcentral.
AGAGUUUGAUCAUGGCUCAGGAUGAACGUUGGUAGCAUGCCUAACAUAUGCAAGUCGAGCGGAAAGUGGUAGCAAUAUCACUUUUAGCGGCGAACGGGUGAGUAAUGCUUAUCUUACCUACCGUUUAGUGGGGGUAAUCCCGCAUAUUCUGGCUUUAGCCAGGAAAGGAAACCGCAAGGUUUUCGCUAAAUGACGGAGAU